UUUUAUGAGAGUUUGAUCCUGGCUCAGGACGAACGCUGGCGGCGUGCCUAAUACAUGCAAGUCGAACGCUUCUUUUUCCACCGGAGCUUGCUCCAUCGGAAAAAGAGGAGUGGCGAACGGGUGAGUAACACGUGGGUAACCUGCCCAUCAGAAGGGGAUAACACUUGGAAACAGGUGCUAAUACCGUAUAACAAUCGAAACCGCAUGGUUU
This 211-nucleotide ribosomal RNA is filed under the name Enterococcus hirae. Its description in RNAcentral is "partial 16S ribosomal RNA". It matches the Rfam family "Bacterial small subunit ribosomal RNA", at positions 1 to 196 of the family's 1533-position model. The record is from RNAcentral. Lineage: Bacteria; Bacillati; Bacillota; Bacilli; Lactobacillales; Enterococcaceae.